AGAGGGAUAGCUGGGUCAAAUGGUGGUUCCAUUGUCAGUUUUCCAAGGAUCUCUAUAAUGCUUUCCAUAGUGGCUGCACCAAUUUGCAAUCCCACCAGCAAU
RNAcentral lists this microRNA precursor (102 nucleotides) under Marmota monax (woodchuck). The record is from RNAcentral. Lineage: Eukaryota; Metazoa; Chordata; Mammalia; Rodentia; Sciuridae.